GGUGGCUCAGUGGUAGAGCACUUGCCUUGCAUGCAUGAGGCCUUGGGUUCGUUUCCUCAGCACCA
This 65-nucleotide transfer RNA is filed under the name Dipodomys ordii (Ord's kangaroo rat). It matches the Rfam family "tRNA". From Rfam's summary of the family: Transfer RNA (tRNA) molecules are approximately 80 nucleotides in length. Their secondary structure includes four short double-helical elements and three loops (D, anti-codon, and T loops). The record is from Rfam by way of RNAcentral. Lineage: Eukaryota; Metazoa; Chordata; Mammalia; Rodentia; Heteromyidae.